Molecule: transfer RNA, 87 nt
Filed under: Kordiimonas sp.
Lineage: Bacteria; Pseudomonadati; Pseudomonadota; Alphaproteobacteria; Kordiimonadales; Kordiimonadaceae
Description: tRNA-Leu
Rfam family: tRNA
About the family: Transfer RNA (tRNA) molecules are approximately 80 nucleotides in length. Their secondary structure includes four short double-helical elements and three loops (D, anti-codon, and T loops). Further hydrogen bonds mediate the characteristic L-shaped molecular structure. tRNAs have two regions of fundamental functional importance: the anti-codon, which is responsible for specific mRNA codon recognition, and the 3' end, to which the tRNAs corresponding amino acid is attached (by aminoacyl-tRNA synthetases). tRNAs cope with the degeneracy of the genetic code in two manners: having more than one tRNA (with a specific anti-codon) for a particular amino acid; and 'wobble' base-pairing, i.e. permitting non-standard base-pairing at the 3rd anti-codon position.
Source: RNAcentral
GCGAGCGUGGCGAAAUUGGUAAACGCAAUGGACUUAAAAUCCAUCGCCCGUAUGGGCUUGCGGGUUCAAGUCCCGCCGCUCGCACCA